RNAcentral lists this ribosomal RNA (742 nucleotides) under uncultured Gammaproteobacteria bacterium. RNAcentral's name for it is "bacterial SSU rRNA". It matches the Rfam family "Bacterial small subunit ribosomal RNA", at positions 9 to 742 of the family's 1533-position model. Lineage: Bacteria; Pseudomonadati; Pseudomonadota; Gammaproteobacteria. The record is from RNAcentral.
AAGUUUGAUACUGGCUCAGAUUGAACGCUGGCGGCAUGCCUAACACACGCAAGUCGAACGGAAACGAUGGGAGCUUGCUCCCAGGCGUCGAGUGGCGGACGGGUGAGUAAUACUCAGGAAUCUACCCAGUAGUGGGGGACAACACGACGAAAGUCGUGCUAAUACCGCAUACGCCCUAAGGGGGAAAGUGGGGGAUCUUCGGACUUCACGCUAUUGGAUGAGCCUAAGUCGGAUUAGCUUGUUGGUGAGGUAAUGGCUCACCAAGGCGACGAUCCGUAGCUGGUCUGAGAGGACGAUCAGCCCCACUGGGACUGAGACACGGCCCAGACUCCUACGGGGGGCAGCAGUGGGGAAUAUUGGACAAUGGGGGCAACCCUGAUCCAGCAAUACCGCGUGUGUGAAGAAGGCCUGCGGGUUGUAAAGCACUUUCAGUAGAGAAGAAAAGCUUAGGGUUAAUACCCCUGAGUCUCGACGUAACCUACAGAAGAAGCACCGGCUAACUCCGUGCCAGCAGCCGCGGUAAUACGGGGGGUGCAAGCGUUAAUCGGAAUUACUGGGCGUAAAGCGCGCGUAGGCGGUCUGGUCAGUCGGAUGUGAAAGCCCUGGGCUCAACCUGGGAAUGGCAUUCGAUACUGCCCGACUAGAAUAUGGAAGAGGGAAGUGGAAUUUCCGGUGUAGCGGUGAAAUGCGUAGAUAUCGGAAGGAACACCAGUGGCGAAGGCGGCUUCCUGGUCCAAUAUUG